RNAcentral lists this long non-coding RNA (1124 nucleotides) under Phasianus colchicus (ring-necked pheasant). RNAcentral describes it as "lncRNA (ENSPCLG00000015185.1)". The record is from RNAcentral. Lineage: Eukaryota; Metazoa; Chordata; Aves; Galliformes; Phasianidae.
AUGGCAACCCACAUCACAAAGGGGACAACCCCAAGUUCCGAGCAGAGCGAGGCUGGGUGCCACUUUGCCUGUGAGUUGUCUGGAGAGAGGAGCUUGACUGCUUGGUUCUCUCUGCACGUCACAGACAUGGCUGAUUUCUGGGGAAUGAGCUUUGUCCCCGGCCUGGAGGAUGACGAUAUCUUCUACCCCAUCCUCUGGAUCAUGCUGAUCAUAUCAUUAUUUGUAUUCAUUAUGGCCUGGUGGAAGUGGCAGAAAGAGAGACAGAGGAAGGGCCAACACGGAGGUAACCAGGAGAAUUCUAGAGGUGCUCCCCAUCCACUCACUCUGUCUCCUUUGCCAACAGUAUGGGACUUCCACACGUCUUCACAGCACGCGAGGAUGCACUCCUCAGCGCCCAGGCAAACGGAUGAUACCAGUGAAAGACUCGAUCAGAUGAACAGAAAACUUCAGGCCAUAAACAGAUACUUGGAGACGCUCAUCUUGGACAUGCCUGAGGGCAGCGAUGGUUACACCACCUCGGUCACAGAGAGUGAAAACCUCUGCACUUCAAGGACAUCGCUGUACCCUUUGAGCACCAGUUGCGGGGAAAUGAAGGCACCUUGCCCACACCGAAAAGCCCAGAAGAACUUGGAAAGCUCCAUCCCAGAGAGCAAAGUGGGGCAGGGACUGGGUCUCGGUGAUCGGAAAAAGCCUGUUGCAAGGGUGGUUCCCAUGGUACGGUACCCACCCUUGGUAUAUGAGGCUAUGAGAUGUCAUCCGGGGAAUGUUGACAUGCCAUGGAGGCUUCUACCUCAGGGUGAACUGUUCAGCCCCAUUCCAGUACAUGGAGAGACGAGGCCCAGGCAUGUCGCAGCAGAACAUGAGACAUCUAGGCCAGGGACACCACAUCUGCAUUGCAGAAUCUGCUGUUUGCCAGUCCAUCUCUUGUACGUUUACAUUCAGCGUGCCUGGGCCAAGCUCCCAGCUGCAAGCAAGGCCCUGUAUUACAUGAUCAGAAAGAAAUGUGAGAGCCUCUCAAGGAUGGGAAGGGAGCUCAUCACAGAAAACGGAUUCUCAGAACCAACCAAGCUGGACACAGAUCAGUGUGGGAGUAGACGAUGGCUCAGAUUACUGGCCAAAAGGAA